UCUAGCCGCCCGCCUCGCCAUCCAGGCUCGGAUAGUCGGAUAGUCGUCUGCCUCCAGCAUCCUUUCUUCUGGCGUCUUUCUCUAACCUGGAGUGACACGUCCACUCCGGGGCAGGUGUAUUUCAAGGGGGUUCUGUAGAGAGAGCUCUAGCCCCCGAGGGAAGCUGAGAUAAGAGGCGCAGAGAUAGGCUCGGUGCCCAGCGGUGCCAGGGAGAUUCCCAAGGGCUUCCUGGAAUUCGCCAGACAGCCGAGAAUGAGGUUUUCGGCUUCCUCUACAUCCCAAACCCGUGGGCCCCCAGGAGCAUUUCCAGAAUUCCUGGAGGCACCUGGCGCAAGUUGGAUGUAGCCUGGAGGAUAGACUCCGGAUUUCCAGGACUACGAAGUCCAGAGAUGAGGAUACCAGGCGAGCCCGCACGGUGACUCAGCUGCCGCCAGCAGCUUCCACAUGGCUGGCAGAUACAUCUAAGCAUCAGUUGCUGACUACAACCUGCUCUGAAUGGUGGUGAGCCCUGGACUUCCUGAAAGCUGAUGUGGACCAGUCCAGCUGAUUUGAACAUGAACGCUCCCUGUCCCUUCAACAAAGUCUGAUGAGGGCCCCAUUGCCUAAAUGUCCCCCCCCCACACACUUUUGGCUAGCCUUUCUACCUGCUUGGGCCCUGAUAACAAUGUCCCAAUAUCAGCUUGAAGUAGUUGUAGAAAGGAACAUGUUGUCCCAUGC
Myodes glareolus (Bank vole) is the source of this 717-nucleotide non-coding RNA. The record is from RefSeq and is a predicted model, not a curated record. Lineage: Eukaryota; Metazoa; Chordata; Mammalia; Rodentia; Cricetidae.